UGGGGAAUCUUCCGCAAUGGACGAAAGUCUGACGGAGCAACGCCGCGUGUAUGAUGAAGGUCUUCGGAUUGUAAAGUACUGUCAUUGGGGGAAGAACGGUUUUCUUGAAAAGAUUGAGAAGACAUGACGGUACCCAAGGAGGAAGCCCCGGCUAACUACGUGCCAGCAGCCGCGGUAAUACGUAGGGGGCAAGCGUUGUCCGGAAUUAUUGGGCGUAAAGGGGCGCGUAGGCGGGCCUUUAAGUCCGGUGUGAAAGAUCAGGGCUCAACCCUGAGAGUGCAUCGGAAACUGGAGGCCUUGAGGACAGGAGAGGAAAAGUGGAAUUCCACGUGUAGCGGUGAAAUGCGUAGAUAUGUGGAGGAACACCAGUGGCGAAAGGCGACUUUCUGGACUGUAACUGACGCUGAGGCGCGAAAGCGUGGGGAGCAAACAGGAUUAGAUACCCUGGUAGUCCACGCCGUAAACGAUGAGUGCUAGGUGUAGAGGGUAUCGACCCCUUCUGUGCCGCAGUUAACACAAUAAGCANUCCGCCUGGGGAGUACGGCCGCAAGGUUGAAACUCAAAAUGAAUUGACGGGGGUCAUAGCUGUUUUCCU
Molecule: ribosomal RNA, 595 nt
Filed under: uncultured bacterium
Lineage: Bacteria
Description: partial 16S ribosomal RNA
Rfam family: Bacterial small subunit ribosomal RNA
Source: RNAcentral